GGCCGCUCUGUCACGCAAUGUCCCCGCUGUCCCCUCGCUGUCGCUGGCGCUGUUCGAGCGCCUCGGGGACAGCCUGGCGCGCCUCGGGCUCUUCCAGAGGGCGGCGGAGUUCUACCAGAAGCAGCUGGCGGCGGCCGAGGCGCUGGGGCUGCCGGGCCGGGAGCUGGCCGUGAUCCACGUGUCCCUGGGCACCACCUUCCGCGACCUGGGCCAGCAUUCCCGGGCCCUGCAGCACUUCCAGAGGGAGCUGGAGCUCAGGAGAGGAGAGCCGCUGGAGGAGUGCCGCACGUGGCUGAACGUGGCGCUGGCGCUGGAGGAUUUGGGCUCGGCCC
This is a long non-coding RNA of Onychostruthus taczanowskii (white-rumped snowfinch), 332 nucleotides long. RefSeq lists it as uncharacterized. The record is from RefSeq and is a predicted model, not a curated record. The transcript has 3 exons. Lineage: Eukaryota; Metazoa; Chordata; Aves; Passeriformes; Passeridae.